Long non-coding RNA from Pteropus alecto (black flying fox), 878 nucleotides. RefSeq lists it as uncharacterized. NCBI's taxonomy places the organism in Eukaryota, Metazoa, Chordata, Mammalia, Chiroptera, Pteropodidae. The record is from RefSeq and is a predicted model, not a curated record. The transcript has 4 exons.
GGUUGCCGCCCUUGAACUUCCGGGCCAGUCACCCUUACUACGCAUUUUCAGACGAAUCUUCCUCUCCAAGAAGCCCGUUGAAUUCUGGGGAUUGUAGUCAUUUUCCAUUGAGAGAGUGUCCUUGAUGACUCAACCUCUGGAACCAGAACUUUUAAAAUACUCAGUCACAGUGGAAAAGACGAUCAUUUUCGCCGAGACGAUCUUUCUCAGCCAGUCAAUCCCCAGCCUAUGGUGACUUCUUCGGUAGCUAGGUAGAUACUCUCGGGGUCAGCCCUCUGGAGGUGGACCACGCGCCCCCUAGACCUGGAGUUGCCCUCUUCCCCGUGGCCUGACUUUGGCCUAGCUCAGCCCACCUUUCCUGUGCGGACGAAGGCCUCAGCCACCUUGCGGUUCCGCCCUCCAUAGCAGGUGGUAAUGAGGUCAGCAACACCACAGCUCUCCAAGAAGGUGGUAGAAGACACAGGGCCCCUGCAGAAGAGCUUGGCGAAGGCGAUCAUCUCCAUGAGCCCCAGUCGGAUCACUGCCGCCUUGGUGUUGUCGCCAAAGCCCAGCCCAUCACAGAAGCCAGCCCCCACGGCCACGACAUUCUUUGCAGAGUGGAGGUCACAGGUACAGAGUGCUGCCCAGAAAUGACACUACUGCCCAGAUCUCCAACUGCUCUGGCUCUCAACAUUCAUUCAGCAGAUCAGAAACCGAGGCUCAAAGUUUUUAAAAGAUACAGCCAAAAUCAGAACUCAUGUGUAUCUGGCUUCGGUCAGCACCAAGCACAGUGCCUGGCACAUACGGGGUGUCACUGUAUUUUGAAUACCAAGAAUCAAAAGGCAACCUAGAAGCCAUGAUAGAGAGCUGGUGGCACCUAAAUGACCUAAGGCAGAGGU